RNAcentral lists this ribosomal RNA (607 nucleotides) under Ctenochares bicolorus. RNAcentral's name for it is "eukaryotic LSU rRNA". It matches the Rfam family "Eukaryotic large subunit ribosomal RNA", at positions 603 to 822 of the family's 3401-position model. Lineage: Eukaryota; Metazoa; Arthropoda; Insecta; Hymenoptera; Ichneumonidae. The record is from RNAcentral.
UGCGGCUCGCGAUGUAGCGGGACUUCGGUCUCGCGGCACGCGUCCGCAUGUUUUUUAUUGCCGGAAUCGUCGGCGUGCACUUCUCCCCUAGUAGGACGUCGCGACCCGUUGGGUGUCGGUCUACGGCACGGUAGGAUAGCCUGUCACGUUUGGCGCUUCACGGCGUUAAGCGGGGCAGACCUCCGUUCGCCCGACCGGCUGCUCGGCGGUACUCGCAAGGUAUCUGGCCGCAGACAUACGAACUGCGUCCGGCCCGUCGCAAGCGCGGCAAGUGUUUCCCGGCUGUACGGAUCUAAUGCCGUCACCGGGCCUUGCCAGCUGUUGGUUGACGGUGUCCUAGGACUGGCUAAAAAUAUUAUGAUACCGGUCGGCGACGCUAUUGCUUUGGGUACUUUCAGGACCCGUCUUGAAACACGGACCAAGGAGUCUAACAUGUGCGCGAGUCAUUGGGAGCUAUUAAGCCUAAAGGCGAAAUGAAAGUGAAGAUCGGCCUCGCGCCGAUCGAGGGAGGAUGGGCCGCGUCACGAUGCGGUCCCGCACUCCCGGGGCGUCUCGUUCUCAUUGCGAGAAGAGGCGCACCCAGAGCGUACACGUUGGGACCCGAAAG